This is a long non-coding RNA of Oncorhynchus tshawytscha (Chinook salmon), 333 nucleotides long. The record is from Ensembl. NCBI's taxonomy places the organism in Eukaryota, Metazoa, Chordata, Actinopteri, Salmoniformes, Salmonidae.
CUUAUUUUCACAAUUCAUCCCAGGUAGCCUAGCGGUUAGAGCACUGGGCCAGUAACCUGAAGGUUGCUGGUUUAAAUACCCGAGCCAACGAGGUGAAAAAUCUGUUGAUGUACUCUUGAGCAAAAUGGUGAGCAAGGCACUUAACCGUAAUUUACUCAUUUGCUCCAGGGGGGCCGUACCACUACAGGGGUACCACACUACUACAAGGGUACCGUACCACUACAGGGGACCGUACCACUACAGGGGUACCGCACCACUACAGGGGUACCACACCACUACAGGGGUACCGUACCACUACAGGGGUACCGCACUACUACAGGGGUACCACACCAC